UAGGAGGCCGGCGCCGACAGUCCUUUCACGUUGACCGGGCUCACGUUGCCGCCGGCCAGCUGGCAGGAGGCGUAGGACAUCGGCGCGGGCGGCUGGGCCAGCGGCCACGAGUUGUUCAUGAAGCCGGACUGCAGGUAAAGCGACUCUGAGCAGCAAGAAGGAAGCGUGUACUGGACACCCUGCAGAAGCGUCUCAAAGACACUUGGAAUGCCGAACAGGAGGGUACAAACUGCUGAGAUUAACGCCAACCCCGCUUUUGAUGGACAGCAACGGAUUUAGUCUCUACAUAAAAUGCACUAUAUUUAACUUGGAAACCAGUGCUGAAAAGCUGCUUGCAAGAAGGCAGAUGGGACGUCUUUUACAUUAAAAUCGGGUACCGCUGUUUUUAAUAGACAAUCGAAUAUAUCAAAGCGGUUUUUGCUGAAGUCUUGCAGAACAGUUACUGCAGUUCACAAACAUAAGGGGAAAAAGGCAACACAACAUUGCUAUUGAUUGUAAUUAACAUAGCGGUGAAUGUAAGCAAAGAGCGAAGAGGUCACUUUAAUACUAACAUUUCAACCUGGAUACUUUAUUGAUCUGAUGAAUUACAUUACCUCUGAUGUUACGGAAUCACAGCUUAAAUACCAACAGAAUGUAUUCUAAUGAUCACACACAGAUGUGUACAUACAAUGUACGUAUAUGAUGACUGACAUAUUCUUGGCGCCCUACAACUACUGGUAAACAUAUAACACAAGAUACCAGCAUAGAGUUUAACAUUAAACCAAUGAAGAAUAAAUUGAAUAGUAAUACCAAUCAGCUAAACCAAGCUACGCUCUUCUUUAUAUACUCACCACUGCAUACAGACAGAAUGGAUGUCUAUAUGGAAUUGUUUUUAAAGUGUCCCGGGAAAAACUAUAAUUUCACUUUUUUUGGUUCUUUUUAAGGAAUCCCUCUCAAUAGUCCACGUUAUAAUUACUCUGCCCCCAUCAAGCCAGAACGAAAUGAGCUGUAUGUAAGCAAAGAGAAUGACUCCGCGAGAGCUGGAAAACUUUCUUACUGCUACCCUAACAGGGACAGGUUAAAAAGCCUGUUUGUUUAUUUUCUCGACCCUAAUCCGUUGAUGUUGUCGUUCAGUGUCCCAGCUCAAAGGUAUAUAUGCAUGGUUAGCAUGGGGAGCUUUAACUUUUACCAGGCACAGCAUUAAGUAAACACACCUUUUGAGUUUGCUCUACUCUGAGGAGAAAUAGGCGGUUACGAUACAAGGUCUAGCAGUCAGACAGCAGAAAAGCCAUGCAUCUGUUUUAAUAUUAAAUGGAUGUAGUCCUUGUUGUUCAGGUCCUUUUCGUUGACAGAGUAGGGCCUGAUCCUGUACUUCCUGAAGACAGUGGUAAAACUCUCACUGACUUCAAGAUUAGACCCUCAAAGCUUUCUGCUUCCUGCCCUCACUCAGCUAAAAUGAGAUUGCUUUCAAACACCGACCCCUAGAAAGAUGAAAAGAAAGGGAAUGUGAUUCACAUCCCUUCCAAAUGGAAUUGCCCUUAUGUUUCAGGGCCUUAAAAAUGUAUUUCCUAUGUUCAGCAUCAUUACUAAAGCACCAAGGCUUUAGUAAUGAUGAACAAUCUUGUUACAAUUGUAAGUAUUUCUAGUCCUUCUCCUCCAUAAAGAUGUAAUGCAUUAUUUUAAAUCCCGGGAUUAUUUGUUCCAAAAACAAUUGUAGAAAAAAUAAUAUUUGCAUGUAAACAUGACAUUUUAUGGACUGUUCUCUAUCCUAAAAGUAAUGAGAAUCAAAUAAAUAUAGUGUGGGAAACAAA
This is a long non-coding RNA of Mauremys reevesii (Reeves's turtle), 1790 nucleotides long. RefSeq lists it as uncharacterized. The transcript has 3 exons. The record is from RefSeq and is a predicted model, not a curated record. NCBI's taxonomy places the organism in Eukaryota, Metazoa, Chordata, Testudines, Geoemydidae.